CCUACGGGUGGCAGCAGUGAGGAAUAUUGGUCAAUGGACGAGAGUCUGAACCAGCCAAGUAGCGUGAAGGAUGACUGCCCUAUGGGUUGUAAACUUCUUUUAUAUGGGAAUAAAAUGUUCCACGUGUGGGAUUUUGUAUGUACCAUAUGAAUAAGGAUCGGCUAACUCCGUGCCAGCAGCCGCGGUAAUACGGAGGAUCCGAGCGUUAUCCGGAUUUAUUGGGUUUAAAGGGAGCGUAGGUGGAUUGUUAAGUCAGUUGUGAAAGUUUGCGGCUUAACCGUAAAAUUGCAGUUGAAACUGGCAGUCUUGAGUACAGUAGAGGUGGGCGGAAUUCGUGGUGUAGCGGUGAAAUGCUUAGAUAUCACGAAGAACUCCGAUUGCGAAGGCAGUUCACUGGACUGCAACUGACACUGAGGCUCGAAAGUGUGGGUAUCAAACAGGAUUAGAUACCCUAGUAGUC
RNAcentral lists this ribosomal RNA (460 nucleotides) under uncultured bacterium. RNAcentral describes it as "partial 16S ribosomal RNA". It matches the Rfam family "Bacterial small subunit ribosomal RNA", at positions 338 to 795 of the family's 1533-position model. The record is from RNAcentral.